This 1196-nucleotide long non-coding RNA is filed under the name Homo sapiens (human). RNAcentral's name for it is "HSALNT0324406". The record is from RNAcentral. Lineage: Eukaryota; Metazoa; Chordata; Mammalia; Primates; Hominidae.
GAUCUUUGAGCCAUGAUAAUGUUACUGGUUGGAUGUCAGGAGCAGGCCAUGUGGAUGAUUAAAAGAUGAAUAUCAUAUACAGCAUGGAUAUGUUGGACAAAAAGAUGAUUCACAUCCCAGACAGAAUGGAGCAGCACAUUUAUUAAAAGCCAGAAGCUAGAAGACGAGGAAAGAAGAGGUGGUUAAAGAAAGAUACAGUAACAGCAGUAAUAUCUAACAGGAAGGCUACAGGGGAAAAUACAGAAAUUCCAUAAAGAACAAACACUGUAACUCAAAACCAAAGCUUUGCUAGUCACUAGUGCCCGCUACAUCCUAACAGAUGCAGCUGGAGAGCCUGGGGUGAGAACAUGAGCAGUCUAUAAUCAGAAAAUCCCUUUGGGAUAAAUUGACAAAAAUAUAAACCACUCCACAAAGGAGAAAUUGUAAAUGUUGUUCUUCCAGAUGGCAUGAAUCCAACAGUGAAGAAAUCAGAAUACGUUGCUUUUGUGAGGGGCAGCUGCUGAUUUUCUCUGAGCUCCGUUUCCAGCCUUCACAUGCUCUGCUAUUCAUCACAGGGUAAAUUCUGACUAUAGGAGGUACUGACAGAAGAUUAGGGAAGAACAGAGGGCUAAAUGUUUAUUGACUUCUUGAAAAAUGCUAUGUGUCUUGCCAGACUUAGCUUACAAGUUUGGUUAAAGAGAGACUGACAUGAGCAUAAAGGAAGGGACAUUGAAAGAGGCAGAGAUGAAGGAAGAAAUUGUAACUUACUCCUUUUAUCCCACCCAUCAAAGGAAAGACAAGUUGACAUUCCCAGGGUGGAUGGAUCCAGGCAGGACAGGAUCAGAAGUUGCAGUCUUAAUUGCACCAACUCACGCAUGUCACCAGCCGAGUAGUAUUGAUUCUGCAACAAACUGAGAAGAAACCUGGCGAUUCACAACAGAGAGCUGAGAAAUCCUAAGUCUGGAUUCCAGCUAAAUGGGAGCAGACUAAAUAGAGCGGCAGUCGGCGAACUACAUGUAGCCCAUGAACAAAAUCCGGUCCAGCACGUGUGUUUUUUUUUACGGCCCACAAAUGAGUCUGUCUUUACAGAUGAAUGUUAAAACUGGGUUGACAAGAGAGAACACUCACUUUGAACCGCAACUAAACAAAAUAUUAUCACCUUUCCCCUCAAAAAAGGUUUUUGUUCUUCUCAUUAGUAAAUUUGUAUUAUGACAAAA